Eubalaena glacialis (North Atlantic right whale) is the source of this 788-nucleotide long non-coding RNA. RefSeq lists it as uncharacterized. The transcript is spliced from 3 exons. The record is from RefSeq and is a predicted model, not a curated record. Lineage: Eukaryota; Metazoa; Chordata; Mammalia; Artiodactyla; Balaenidae.
UUCCUUCUCAGCUGGUUCCAAGCUCCUCCUAAGUCUCCUAAGGCAUGGAGACUUAGUUCUUGCACUUUCCAUCUCCAGCAGGAAUCUGCAAGAAACAGUGCAGUGAUGAGGAUACCCCCUCUUUGAAUGUGCCAUGAGGCUUUCUUGGGAUGGUUCCUAGAACUGGAAACCUUGCGUGAAGGGCAGGCCGUUUUCUUUGGUGAAACAGCAGGAAGAAACCGCAUGCCUGUCUGGAACUGGCUGUGUGACCUCGGACCUGACCUUUCUGGGCCACCGUGAAAUGGUCACACUGAAUUCUCCCUCGGAGCCUCUUAACGGGGAUUCAGAGCAAUUUGAUGGGGGAAGCACUUAACACAGAGCCUGAGACCUACUCAGUGGAAGUUUGUUUUAAAUGUAUUUUCCGCUAAACUAAAUCCUACGGAAAAAAACGCCGCCACAUGUGUUUCCAUUGUUCAGCCUUCAGGCAGUUCCUUCCCUCUCCUCCUGUGGCCAAAGACAUGUUGGUUAGUCUGAGAUUCCUGAUCCUCCUUUUUCCUUUUAUGACACCAACCAGCACGUCAGCUGGCUGCAGAUGGGCCUGCAGCCCCUCCUGUUGGCGAAUCCCCUCCUCCCCCCCGAUGGUCUGCGUGUGUCCCCCUGUGAUGGCUGCUGUUUCUACAGGGACAGAGCAGGGUGGCCGUGCAUGGUUAUCAGUGACCACGGGAUACAAAGGGGGGGCUUCAAUGGAUUCACACACCACACACACACACACACACACACACACAUACACACUCUCUCUCUCUCUCAGA